This 71-nucleotide transfer RNA is filed under the name Pseudogobius taijiangensis (Taijiang fat-nose goby). RNAcentral describes it as "tRNA-Trp". It matches the Rfam family "tRNA". Rfam says of the family: Transfer RNA (tRNA) molecules are approximately 80 nucleotides in length. Their secondary structure includes four short double-helical elements and three loops (D, anti-codon, and T loops). The record is from RNAcentral. Lineage: Eukaryota; Metazoa; Chordata; Actinopteri; Gobiiformes; Gobiidae.
AGAGGCUUAGGAUAACACCAGACCAAGGGCCUUCAAAGCCCUAAGUGGGAGUGAAAAUCUCUCAGCCUCUG